Molecule: long non-coding RNA, 2288 nt
Filed under: Homo sapiens (human)
Lineage: Eukaryota; Metazoa; Chordata; Mammalia; Primates; Hominidae
Description: HSALNT0192981
Source: RNAcentral
CCCGCCCUUAAUCUGAGUGGACACCAUCUAAUCAGCCACCAGCCCAGCUGGAAUAUAAAGCAGGCAGAAAAACGUGAAAAGACUGGCCUAGCCUCCCAGCCUACAUCUUUCUCCCAUGCUGGAUGCUUCCUGCCCUCAAACACUGGACUCCAGGUUCUUGUUUUGGGACUUGGACUGGCUCUCCUUGCUCCUCAGCUUACAGAUGCCUAUUGUAGGACCUUGUGAUAGUCAGAAAGGAGAUGUGUGUAUGAGUUCUGCAGAAGUCCACCAAAUGUGGGCCAGGGUUAUUUCCCUGGUGAUGCUCUGAAGCUUUUGCCAAAGGACAAAUGGAAACAGGAAGUACAAUCAUGCACUGGGGUAAAGAAGAUUCAUCUGCUCUUAGCUACCUACCAUGCCAACACUCCUGAGAAAGCUCACAGAGGCCCAUGAUGCCCACCUGGAUCUGAGGACCUAGAAAGCCACAACAGGCAACCAUAAUCUGGGUCUUCCCUCAGCCAACUCCCCUGCAUAAAGUGAAUGAAUGAAAAACCCAUCUUAUAUUAAUCAGAGUUCUCUAGAGAAAAAGAACCAAUCAGAUGUGUAUAUAUAGAAAGAGAGAAUUAUUUUAGGGAAUUAGCUCACAUCAUUAUGCAGGCUGGUCAAUCAAAAAUCUGUGGAGUGGGCUAGCAGGCUGGAGACCCAGGGAAAGGCUAAAUUGCAGUUUAGAUCAGAAGGUCAUCUACUGGCAGAAUUCCCUCAUCUUCCAGGAAGGUGGAUCUUUUUCUACCAAGGCCUUCAGUUUAUUAGAUUAGGCCCAUGAACAUGCUGGAGGGUAAUCUGCUUUACUCAAUACAUACUGAUUUGAAUGUUAGUAUCAUCAAAAAGACCUUCACAGAAACAUCUAAAAUAAUGUUUGACCAAAUGUCUGCAUACCAUGGCCAAGCCAAGUUUACACAUAAAAUUAAUUAUCACACAUCCCACGAACACCAUCCCCAACAGAUGCUCAUGAGCAUUGUGGUUAUGAUUUCAACUUCAGAAUAAGGCAGAAAUGUGUACAAAUCCUGACCCUUUGACUUAUCAGCUCUCUAAAAAUCAUUAUAUGUCAACUUUCUAGACUUUACCUGAAAAACAGAAACCAAGAUACCCACAGCAUAAGAUUGUUAGGAUUGAAGAAAUUGUUACGAUUGUUAGGUAUGAAGAAAUUUAAACAAUGAUGCAGCUGAGAUAUUUAGAAUUGUACCUGGCAUGUACUUUGUAUUAAAUAACUAAUAAGGCCUUUUUCUGGUGAAAACAAAAUAAGCCUGGAUAAAAGAAGAUGAGACCAGAUUGGUUGAUGGCUCGGCCUGGGUGGGCUCCUGGCCCAUCUGAAAUUACAUUACUCUUAUGUAGUGCCUUUUUUGUUAUUGCUAAAAUAAAAUAAAUAAAACACUCUACUUUCAUACUUUGUAAAAUGCACUUCUCAUUCAGUUCCUCUUCCUGUGCCUUUUCCCUAUUGUCUAUCUGCACACAGCUGUUUUCUUCUGCACAUUUUCAUCACAGAGAAUUACCAGGUGUAGGUCAAAAGAUGCCACAGAGAUAACAAAGGAAAGGAAAAGCUUUUCUGCACUUCUAUCCUUGUAAGCACAAAAAUUAAUCACACUUUCAGUAAACAGGUCAGGUAAGUCAGUCCUGCACUUGAACCUUUUCUCCCCAAAUAAAUAGUUGAAAUGGGAAUGUCGAUUUCUGUAUUUGAACAGAAAUGUAUUAGUGUAGCUUUCAAAAGAAGACUACUCUCUCCAUAUGAAUAUCAUCAGACCCACAAAUACACAUAUGCAUACAUUCACAGUUCAUCCUAACGCUGCAGAAUAUUCUAAGAGUAACACAUUUCUGUACAAAUCAAGCAGCAGCUUUCACUUGCAUGCUAAUCUUCAAAUUAAUUCUGCAAUGAUCCAUUCAUUCCACAUCCCAACCUACAUCCUCAGAAAAACAAAGAUGUAAGUAAGGAACUCAGUAUAACAUGUUUGACUUUAGACACUACUCAAAUAUACUCAAACUUUAUAUGAAUAUGGAUAUUGCUCCUAGAUUAGGCAGUUCAGAAAACAAAUCUUGAUUAUUCUUAGUUACAAUGUAGUAUAAAAUAACAACAAUUUCAUGUCAACAACAGAAUCUCCUAAAAGAUCUUAUAAAGAUAAAAAGUCUUAGGUGUUAGUCGUCAAAGACUAAGUUGUAAAUGUAUCAUUGUAUUUGUGUAGUUAAUAAAACCCUAGACAAGAUAUGGGUUCCAGUUCUUGAACCACCACCACCUGUUCACCUUAAAUAAGUCAACUAAC